This 253-nucleotide ribosomal RNA is filed under the name uncultured bacterium. RNAcentral describes it as "partial 16S ribosomal RNA". It matches the Rfam family "Bacterial small subunit ribosomal RNA", at positions 524 to 776 of the family's 1533-position model. The record is from RNAcentral.
UACGGAGGGCGCAAGCGUUAUCCGGAUUCACUGGGCUUAAAGGGCGCGUAGGUGGGUUAGUAAGUCAGUGGUGAAAUCUCCGAGCUUAACUUGGAAACUGCCAUUGAUACUAUUAAUCUUGAAUACCGUGGAGGUCAGCGGAAUAUGUCAUGUAGCGGUGAAAUGCUUAGAUAUGACAUAGAACACCAAUUGCGAAGGCAGCUGGCUACACGAAUAUUGACACUGAGGCACGAAAGCGUGGGGAGCAAACAGG